This is a non-coding RNA of Potamilus streckersoni, 78 nucleotides long. The record is from the annotation of a GenBank genome assembly. NCBI's taxonomy places the organism in Eukaryota, Metazoa, Mollusca, Bivalvia, Unionida, Unionidae.
GACCGCUCCGGUGGCCUAAGUGUUUAGAGCGUACUCCUCGGAUGCGUGAGGUCGCGGGUUCGAAUCCCGACUGAGUCA